Molecule: long non-coding RNA, 730 nt
Filed under: Mytilus galloprovincialis (Mediterranean mussel)
Lineage: Eukaryota; Metazoa; Mollusca; Bivalvia; Mytilida; Mytilidae
Source: RNAcentral
AUACCUUGUGUGUAAUUGCAAUGAUCUCUCUGAAAUUGUACCACAAUGUACCAUAUAACAAAGGGGAGGCUGGGAUUAAGUUUUGGGUUAAUUUUUCUCAUUUCAGAUUUCAUAAAUAAAAAGAAAAUUUCUUCAAACAUAUUUUUGAGAGGAUUAAUAUUCAACAGCAUAGUGAAUUGCUGAAAGGCAAAAGUUUUUUUUAAGUUCAUUAGACCACAUUCAUUCUGUGUCAAAAACCUAUGCUGUGUCAACUAUUUAAUCACAAUCCAAAUUUAGAGCUGAAUCCAGCUUGAAUGUUGUGUCCAUACUUGCCCCAGCCGUUCAGGGUUCAACCUCUGCGGUCGUAUAAAGCUGUGCCCUGCGGAGAAUCUGGUCAAUGAGCUUACAAGUAAAAUAAACAGUCUAAAGGGAUUAUAUUCAUGCAAUUGUACUUUUAUCCUAUAGCACAGAUUGAUAAAUGUUUAUAAAUUGAAUUUACAAUUAUACAAGCUAGUCGUGCUAGUGGGAAAUAUCAUGUUGCUUUACAAUAAAUGUACUUUGAAAUUUUGUAAAAAUAAGAAUUUUCUGCACAAAAAAAAAUCUUUAGGAAUUUUAGGUCCUCCAUUAAUGCCUUCAACUUCAUACUUUAUUUGGCCUAUUAAUCUUUUUCAAGUACAAAAAAAAAUGCAUUCACGUAAUUAAAACCCCUUUAUGUAGCUUGGGUAGCUAUCAAUUUUCCAUUUUUUAUCAC